Molecule: ribosomal RNA, 379 nt
Filed under: uncultured cyanobacterium
Lineage: Bacteria; Bacillati; Cyanobacteriota
Description: SSU rRNA
Rfam family: Bacterial small subunit ribosomal RNA
Source: RNAcentral
CGCAAGCCUGACGGAGCAACGCCGCGUGAGGGAUGAAGGCCUCUGGGCUGUAAACCUCUUUUAUCAAGGAAGAAGAUCUGACAGUACUUGAUGAAUAAGCCACGGCUAAUUCCGUGCCAGCAGCCGCGGUAAUACGGGAGUGGCAAGCGUUAUCCGGAAUUAUUGGGCGUAAAGCGUCCGCAGGCGGCUCUUCAAGUCUGCUGUUAAAAAGUGGAUCUUAACUCCAUCAUGGCAGUGGAAACUGUUGGGCUUGAGUGUGGUAGGGGCAGAGGGAAUUUCCGGUGUAGCGGUGAAAUGCGUAGAUAUCGGGAAGAACACCAGUGGCGAAGGCGCUUUGCUGGGCCAUUACUGACGCUCAUGGACGAAAGCCAGGGGAGCG